This 448-nucleotide ribosomal RNA is filed under the name uncultured bacterium. RNAcentral's name for it is "SSU rRNA". It matches the Rfam family "Bacterial small subunit ribosomal RNA", at positions 26 to 518 of the family's 1533-position model. The record is from RNAcentral.
AGAGCGAACGCUGGCGGCAGGCUUAACACAUGCAAGUCGAGCGGGCGUAGCAAUACGUCAGCGGCAGACGGGUGAGUAACGCGUGGGAACAUACCUUUUGGUUCGGAAUAACACAGGGAAACUUGUGCUAAUACCGGAUAAGCCCUUACGGGGAAAGAUUUAUCGCCGAAAGAUUGGCCCGCGUCUGAUUAGCUAGUUGGUGAGGUAACGGCUCACCAAGGCGACGAUCAGUAGCUGGUCUGAGAGGAUGAUCAGCCACAUUGGGACUGAGACACGGCCCAAACUCCUACGGGAGGCAGCAGUGGGGAAUAUUGGACAAUGGGCGCAAGCCUGAUCCAGCCAUGCCGCGUGAGUGAUGAAGGCCCUAGGGUUGUAAAGCUCUUUUGUGCGGGAAGAUAAUGACGGUACCGCAAGAAUAAGCCCCGGCUAACUUCGCGUCAGCAGCCGC